RNAcentral lists this ribosomal RNA (382 nucleotides) under uncultured eukaryote. RNAcentral describes it as "partial 18S ribosomal RNA". It matches the Rfam family "Eukaryotic small subunit ribosomal RNA", at positions 592 to 976 of the family's 1831-position model. The record is from RNAcentral.
CAAUAGCGUAUAUUAAAGUUGUUGCAGUUAAAAAGCUCGUAGUUGGAUUUCUGGUUGAAGCGACCGGUCGGGCGUUGAUUCGUCUGCACUGGAGUCGGUUUUGGCCAUCCUCUAGGAAAGUGCGUCUGGUAUUAAGUUAUCGGGCGUAUGAUCCUGGUCUUUUACUGUGAAAAAAUUAGAGUGUGUAAAGCAGGCCUUCGCCUUGAAUACAUUAGCAUGGAAUAAUAAGAUAGGACUUUGGUCUAUUUUGUUGGUUUGCAGACCGAAGUAAUGAUUAAUAGGGAUAGUUGGGGGUAUUUAUAUUCCGAUGUCAGAGGUGAAAUUCUUAGAUUUUCGGAAGAUAAACUUAUGCGAAAGCAUUUACCAAGGAUGUUUNCAUUAA